This 201-nucleotide ribosomal RNA is filed under the name uncultured bacterium. RNAcentral describes it as "partial 16S ribosomal RNA". It matches the Rfam family "Bacterial small subunit ribosomal RNA", at positions 524 to 724 of the family's 1533-position model. The record is from RNAcentral.
UACGAAGGGUGCAAACGUUGCUCGGAAUUAUUGGGCGUAAAGCGCACGUAGGCGGCAUUGCAAGUCGGAUGUGAAAUCCCUCGGCUUAACCAAGGAAGUGCAUCCGAAACUGCAGUGCUUGAGUACUUAAGAGGAUCGCGGAAUUCCCGGUGUAGAGGUGAAAUUCGUAGAUAUCGGAAGGAACACCAGUGGCGAAGGCGG